This 379-nucleotide ribosomal RNA is filed under the name Torulaspora delbrueckii. RNAcentral's name for it is "eukaryotic LSU rRNA". It matches the Rfam family "Eukaryotic large subunit ribosomal RNA", at positions 2971 to 3344 of the family's 3401-position model. The record is from RNAcentral. Lineage: Eukaryota; Fungi; Ascomycota; Saccharomycetes; Saccharomycetales; Saccharomycetaceae.
UCGUGAGACAGGUUAGUUUUACCCUACUGAUGAAUGUUACCGCAAUAGUAAUUGAACUUAGUACGAGAGGAACAGUUCAUUCGGAUAAUUGGUUUUUGCGGCUGUCUGAUCAGGCAUUGCCGCGAAGCUACCAUCCGCUGGAUUAUGGCUGAACGCCUCUAAGUCAGAAUCCAUGCUAGAACGCGGUGAUUUCUUUCCCUCACACAAUAUAGAUGGAUACGAAUAAGGCGUCUUUUUGGCGUCGCUGAACCAUAGCAGGCUGGCAAUGGUAUUCUUGGCGGAAAGGCCUUGGGUGCUUGCCGGCGAAUUGCAAUGUAAUUUUGCGUGAGGAUAAAUCAUUUGUAUACGACUUAGAUGUACAACGGGGUAUUGUAAGCAG